Molecule: ribosomal RNA, 492 nt
Filed under: uncultured bacterium
Lineage: Bacteria
Description: partial 16S ribosomal RNA
Rfam family: Bacterial small subunit ribosomal RNA
Source: RNAcentral
AGUGAACGCUGGCGGUAGGCCUAACACAUGCAAGUCGAACGGCAGCACAGUAAGAGCUUGCUCUUACGGGUGGCGAGUGGCGGACGGGUGAGGAAUACAUCGGAAUCUACUUUUUCGUGGGGGAUAACGUAGGGAAACUUACGCUAAUACCGCAUACGACCUACGGGUGAAAGCAGGGGAUAUUCGGACCUUGCGCGAUUGAAUGAGCCGAUGUCGGAUUAGCUAGUUGGCGGGGUAAAGGCCCAACAAGGCGACGAUCCGUAGCUGGUCUGAGAGGAUGAUCAGCCACACUGGAACUGAGACACCGUCCAGACUCCUACGGGAGGCAGCAGUGGGGAAUAUUGGACAAUGGGCGCAAGCCUGAUCCAGCCAUACCGCGUGGGUGAAGAAGGCCUUCGGGUUGUAAAGCCCUUUUGUUGGGAAAGAAAAGCAGCAGGUUAAUACCCCGCUGUUCUGACGGUACCCAAAGAAUAAGCACCGGCUAACUUCGUG